Molecule: ribosomal RNA, 450 nt
Filed under: uncultured bacterium
Lineage: Bacteria
Description: bacterial SSU rRNA
Rfam family: Bacterial small subunit ribosomal RNA
Source: RNAcentral
GUGGGGAAUAUUGCGCAAUGGGCGAAAGCCUGACGCAGCGACGCCGCGUGGAGGAUGAAGGCCUUCGGGUCGUAAACUCCUGUCAGAGGGAAAGAAAAGGCUCUGGUAAAUAGCCAGGGUUCUUGACGGUACCCUCAGAGGAAGCCCCGGCUAACUACGUGCCAGCAGCCGCGGUAAUACGUAGGGGGCGAGCGUUGUUCGGAUUUAUUGGGCGUAAAGCGCGCGUAGGCGGUAAGGUAAGUGAGAGGUUAAAUCCCUCAGCUCAACUGAGGAACCGCCUCUUAAACUGCCUUGCUUGAGUUCAGGAGAGGAGAGUGGAAUUCCUGGUGGAGCGGUGAAAUGCGUAGAUACCAGGAGGAACACCGGUGGCGAAGGCGGCUCUCUGGACUGAUACUGACGCUGAGGCGCGAAAGCCAGGGGAGCAAACGGGAUUAGAAACCCUUGUAGUCC